This 449-nucleotide ribosomal RNA is filed under the name uncultured bacterium. Its description in RNAcentral is "partial 16S ribosomal RNA". It matches the Rfam family "Bacterial small subunit ribosomal RNA", at positions 328 to 794 of the family's 1533-position model. The record is from RNAcentral.
GUACCAGACUCCUACGGGAGGCAGCAGUGGGGAAUAUUGCACAAUGGGGGGAACCCUGAUGCAGCGACGCCGCGUGGGUGAAGGAGCACCUCGGUGCGUAAAGCCCUAUCGGCAGGGAAGAAACAGACGGUACCUGACUAAGAAGCCCCGGCUAACUACGUGCCAGCAGCCGCGGUAAUACGUAGGGGGCAAGCGUUAUCCGGAUUUACUGGGUGUAAAGGGAGCGUAGGCGGUUAGAUAAGUCUGAUGUGAAAGCCCACAGCUUAACUGUGGGAUUGCAUUGGAAACUAUAGAACUAGAGUGUCGGAGAGGUAAGUGGAAUUCCUAGUGUAGCGGUGAAAUGCGUAGAUAUUAGGAGGAACACCAGUGGCGAAGGCGGCCUGCUGGACGAUGACUGACGCUGAGGCUCGAAAGCGUGGGGAGCAAACAGGAUUAGAUACCCCGGUAAC